GGAGGCAUAGCUUAGAGGUAGAGCGUCUGCUUGGCAUGCAGAAGGUUCCAAGUUCAAUCCCUGGUGUCUCCA
Non-coding RNA from Eublepharis macularius, 72 nucleotides. The record is from the annotation of a RefSeq genome assembly. NCBI's taxonomy places the organism in Eukaryota, Metazoa, Chordata, Lepidosauria, Squamata, Eublepharidae.